GUUAUUGAGAGUUUGAAAAUCACAAGCAUAAACUAAGACAGUCUACAUCAGAUUACAUGAAGGAAGUCUGAUCAUUAAGUUUUAAUCCCAGCUAGCUGGAACCUGUCAAGCAGGCAAUAUCCCAGGCAGCUAUAAUGACGAGGAGGAGGAGAAGAAAGAGGGGAGGGGGCUCGUGUUUGCAGAGCUGUACAGGGGCGUUUGUUUCACAGCACGGACGCUGUCUGACUCUGAUGUGCAGCCACCCAGCUAACUCUGCCCCCUCCAUCAAAUUGAACACACCCUCACAAAAAAGGACUGGACUAAUACACUGGAGCAACUAGAACGAGGAACCAAACAAAGAGGUGUAGGUCUGGAACCAGUCUAUCAAUCAAUAUACAAAACUAAAACACACAAUAAUGGGGUGAAGAGGACAGAACAUUCUGGAUUCCAUUUCUGGACCUGACUGGAGCAUUUUCAUGAACCAACAGCAGGAUAUUCUCACAGUGACAGAUGGUUUGGAAUCGAUUAUGAACACAGCAGAACAAAUCCCAGGAGCAGCAACACAUUCCUCCAUUUGACCAGCUCAAACCAGACUUUUAUAAAGAACCGUCACGAACACCCAGAUGAAAGAACAGAGAGCUGAUGAUCCAUUCAGGGAUGUGUGGAUACAUUUGAAUUGAGUUGAUGUUACGCUCCAAAACUGCCAUCAGAAAAGAUUCAUAUGAGUCUGACCUGCCACCUCUACGGUAUCAUUUACUGAUCAACAAUCAAUACUGCAGCUCAUCUGCACAUUUCUUUCUUCAAAUGUUUCAUCCAGUCUGAAAAACAAACAAACUAAUCUACUGUAUGUGUGUAUGUGUAUGUUUGUGUAUAAUAUCAUAGCCUUUCACAUCUCUUUUCUUGGGAAAUUGA
Molecule: long non-coding RNA, 891 nt
Organism: Micropterus dolomieu (smallmouth bass)
Lineage: Eukaryota; Metazoa; Chordata; Actinopteri; Centrarchiformes; Centrarchidae
Exons: 4
Source: RefSeq, a predicted model, not a curated record